CGCCCUUAGAGUUUGAUCAUGGCUCAGAUUGAACGCUGGCGGCAGGCUUAACACAUGCAAGUCGAGCGGUAGGGGAGCUUGCUCCCUACGAGCGGCGGACGGGUGAGUAAUGUCUGGGAAACUGCCUGAUGGAGGGGGAUAACUACUGGAAACGGUAGCUAAUACCGCAUAACGUCGCAAGACCAAAGAGGUUCGUCUUGCCAUCAGAUGUGCCCAGAUGGGAUUAGCUAGUAGGUGGGGUAAUGGCUCACCUAGGCGACGAUCCCUAGCUGGUCUGAGAGGAUGACCAGCCACACUGGAACUGAGACACGGUCCAGACUCCUACGGGAGGCAGCAGUGGGGAAUAUUGCACAAUGGGCGCAGGCCUGAUGCAGCCAUGCCGCGUGUGUGAAGAAGGCCUUCGGGUUGUAAAGCACUUUCAGCGAGGAGGAAGGUGGUGAGUAAACUCAUCAUUU
RNAcentral lists this ribosomal RNA (455 nucleotides) under uncultured Serratia sp. RNAcentral describes it as "bacterial SSU rRNA". It matches the Rfam family "Bacterial small subunit ribosomal RNA", at positions 1 to 471 of the family's 1533-position model. The record is from RNAcentral. Lineage: Bacteria; Pseudomonadati; Pseudomonadota; Gammaproteobacteria; Enterobacterales; Yersiniaceae.